RNAcentral lists this ribosomal RNA (253 nucleotides) under uncultured bacterium. RNAcentral describes it as "partial 16S ribosomal RNA". It matches the Rfam family "Bacterial small subunit ribosomal RNA", at positions 524 to 776 of the family's 1533-position model. The record is from RNAcentral.
UACGGAGGGUGCAAGCGUUAUCCGGAUUCACUGGGUUUAAAGGGUGCGUAGGAGGGCAGGUAAGUCAGUGGUGAAAUCCCCGAGCUUAACUUGGGAACUGCCGUUGAUACUAUCUGUCUUGAAUACCGUGGAGGUGAGCGGAAUAUGUCAUGUAGCGGUGAAAUGCGUAGAUAUCGAGAGGAACACCUGCGGCGAAGGCGGGUUGCUGGGCUGACACUGACGCUGAUGUGCGAAAGCUAGGGGAGCGAACGGG